CUGGAGGUAUCAGAAGUGCGAAUGCUGACAUAAGUAACGAUAAAGCGGGUGAAAAGCCCGCUCGCCGGAAGACCAAGGGUUCCUGUCCAACGUUAAUCGGGGCAGGGUGAGUCGACCCCUAAGGCGAGGCCGAAAGGCGUAGUCGAUGGGAAACAGGUUAAUAUUCCUGUACUUGGUGUUACUGCGAAGGGGGGACGGAGAAGGCUAUGUUGGCCGGGCGACGGUUGUCCCGGUUUAAGCGUGUAGGCUGGUUUUCCAGGCAAAUCCGGAAAAUCAAGGCUGAGGCGUGAUGACGAGGCACUACGGUGCUGAAGCAACAAAUGCCCUGCUUCCAGGAAAAGCCUCUAAGCAUCAGGUAACAUCAAAUCGUACCCCAAACCGACACAGGUGGUCAGGUAGAGAAUACCAAGGCGCUUGAGAGAACUCGGGUGAAGGAACUAGGCAAAAUGGUGCCGUAACUUCGGGAGAAGGCACGCUGAUAUGUAGGUGAAGUCCCUCGCGGAUGGAGCUGAAAUCAGUCGAAGAUACCAGCUGGCUGCAACUGUUUAUUAAAAACACAGCACUGUGCAAACACGA
This 576-nucleotide ribosomal RNA is filed under the name Escherichia coli. RNAcentral describes it as "bacterial LSU rRNA". It matches the Rfam family "Bacterial large subunit ribosomal RNA", at positions 1273 to 1834 of the family's 2925-position model. The record is from RNAcentral. Lineage: Bacteria; Pseudomonadati; Pseudomonadota; Gammaproteobacteria; Enterobacterales; Enterobacteriaceae.